UCUUCUUCCAUGAAUCGUAUAGGCAAACAAUUAUGGAUAUUCAGCGCGUCACAACCACCCACAUUGUCGCAUGCAUACCUGAGAUUUUACGAAAUGUGACCUCCUUUUUGCCAACGACCGACCGACAUCGCUGAACCUGGAACUAUUCUGUGUGUAUCCUAACGAAGCAGAUAGUUCCAGGAAAAGUGCGAACAUGUCCUCCUUCUUGACAGACUUCAACCCCGGACAAAACCUGGAGUUCCCAUCCGUCACUAAACUGGGAUUAAAUCUACACCAAGUCACCGGAUGUGACCAACUUCCUCUAAUCCUUACCAAAAUUUCGGCCUUAUUCCCUAAAGUGUCCAGGCUCCAAUAUCAUUGCGGUGGCGCGGACGCCUUGAAAUUCAUCUUUUUCACGAAACCGUCCCCAUUUCUUAAUCUUAUAGAUUUUAAUAUAAAUU
Folsomia candida is the source of this 440-nucleotide long non-coding RNA. RefSeq lists it as uncharacterized. The transcript has 3 exons. Lineage: Eukaryota; Metazoa; Arthropoda; Collembola; Entomobryomorpha; Isotomidae. The record is from RefSeq and is a predicted model, not a curated record.